This 496-nucleotide ribosomal RNA is filed under the name uncultured bacterium. RNAcentral's name for it is "partial 16S ribosomal RNA". It matches the Rfam family "Bacterial small subunit ribosomal RNA", at positions 30 to 523 of the family's 1533-position model. The record is from RNAcentral.
AUUGAACGCUGGCGGAAUGCUUUACACAUGCAAGUCGAACGGUAGAGGGGGCAACCCCUCGAGAGUGGCGAACGGGUGAGUAAUAUAUCGGAACGUGCCCAGUCGUGGGGGAUAACGUAGCGAAAGUUACGCUAAUACCGCAUACGAUCUAAGGACGAAAGCGGGGGAUCGCAAGACCUCGCGCGAUUGGAGCGGCCGAUAUCAGAUUAGGUAGUUGGUGGGGGAAAGGCUCACCAAGCCAACGGUCUGUAGCUGGGCUGAGAGGACGACCAGACACACUGGAACUUAGACACGGUCCAGACUCCUACGGGAGGCAGCAGUGGGGAAUUUUGGACAAUGGACGCAAGUCUGAUCCAGCCAUUCCGCGUGCAGGAUGAAGGCCCUCGGGUUGUAAACUGCUUUUGUACGGAACGAAAAGGUCUCUCUUAAUACGGGGGGCUCAUGACGGUACCGUAAGAAUAAGCACCGGCUAACUACGUGCCAGCCGCCGCCGCAG